Molecule: ribosomal RNA, 448 nt
Filed under: uncultured bacterium
Lineage: Bacteria
Description: bacterial SSU rRNA
Rfam family: Bacterial small subunit ribosomal RNA
Source: RNAcentral
CCCCAGACUCCUACGGGAGGCAGCAGUGGGGAAUAUUGCACAAUGGGGGAAACCCUGAUGCAGCGACGCCGCGUGAGCGAUGAAGUAUUUCGGUAUGUAAAGCUCUAUCAGCAGGGAAGAAAAUGACGGUACCUGACUAAGAAGCCCCGGCUAACUACGUGCCAGCAGCCGCGGUAAUACGUAGGGGGCAAGCGUUAUCCGGAUUUACUGGGUGUAAAGGGAGCGUAGACGGCAUGGCAAGUCAGAUGUGAAAGCCCGGGGCUCAACCCCGGGACUGCAUUUGAAACUGUCAGGCUGGAGUGCAGGAGAGGUAAGUGGAAUUCCUAGUGUAGCGGUGAAAUGCGUAGAUAUUAGGAGGAACACCAGUGGCGAAGGCGGCUUACUGGACUGUAACUGACGUUGAGGCUCGAAAGCGUGGGGAGCAAACAGGAUUAGAUACCCUAGUAUA